UGGGGGAUAUUGCGCAAUGGGGGCAACCCUGACGCAGCAACGCCGCGUGAAGGAUGAAGGUUUUCGGAUUGUAAACUUCUUUUAUUAAGGACGAAAAUUGACGGUACUUAAUGAAUAAGCUCCGGCUAACUACGUGCCAGCAGCCGCGGUAAUACGUAGGGAGCGAGCGUUGUCCGGAUUUACUGGGUGUAAAGGGUGCGUAGGCGGCUUUGCAAGUCAGAUGUGAAAUCUAUGGGCUUAACCCAUAAACUGCAUUUGAAACUGUAUCUCUUGAGUGUCGGAGAGGUAGACGGAAUUCCUAGUGUAGCGGUGAAAUGCGUAGAUAUUAGGAGGAACACCAGUGGCGAAGGCGGUCUACUGGACGAUAACUGACGCUGAGGCGCGAAAGCGUGGGGAGCAAACAGGAUUAGAUACCCUGGUAGU
RNAcentral lists this ribosomal RNA (423 nucleotides) under uncultured Ruminococcus sp. Its description in RNAcentral is "bacterial SSU rRNA". It matches the Rfam family "Bacterial small subunit ribosomal RNA", at positions 355 to 794 of the family's 1533-position model. The record is from RNAcentral. Lineage: Bacteria; Bacillati; Bacillota; Clostridia; Eubacteriales; Oscillospiraceae.